Molecule: ribosomal RNA, 230 nt
Filed under: uncultured bacterium
Lineage: Bacteria
Description: partial 16S ribosomal RNA
Rfam family: Bacterial small subunit ribosomal RNA
Source: RNAcentral
AAAGGGUGCGUAGGCGGCCUGUUAAGUCAGGGGUGAAAGACGGUAGCUCAACUAUCGCAGUGCCCUUGAUACUGAUGGGCUUGAAUGGACUAGAGGUAGGCGGAAUGAGACAAGUAGCGGUGAAAUGCAUAGAUAUGUCUCAGAACACCGAUUGCGAAGGCAGCUUACUAUGGUCUUAUUGACGCUGAGGCACGAAAGCGUGGGGAUCAAACAGGAUUAGAUACCCCGGU